This 1437-nucleotide ribosomal RNA is filed under the name uncultured organism. RNAcentral's name for it is "16S ribosomal RNA". It matches the Rfam family "Bacterial small subunit ribosomal RNA". The record is from RNAcentral.
CUCAGGAUGAACGCUAGCUACAGGCUUAACACAUGCAAGUCGAGGGGCAGCAUGGUCUUAGCUUGCUAAGGCCGAUGGCGACCGGCGCACGGGUGAGUAACACGUAUCCAACCUGCCGUCUACUCUUGGACAGCCUUCUGAAAGGAAGAUUAAUACAAGAUGGCAUCAUGAGUCCGCAUGUUCACAUGAUUAAAGGUAUUCCGGUAGACGAUGGGGAUGCGUUCCAUUAGAUAGUAGGCGGGGUAACGGCCCACCUAGUCUUCGAUGGAUAGGGGUUCUGAGAGGAAGGUCCCCCACAUUGGAACUGAGACACGGUCCAAACUCCUACGGGAGGCAGCAGUGAGGAAUAUUGGUCAAUGGGCGAGAGCCUGAACCAGCCAAGUAGCGUGAAGGAUGACUGCCCUAUGGGUUGUAAACUUCUUUUAUAAAGGAAUAAAGUCGGGUAUGGAUACCCGUUUGCAUGUACUUUAUGAAUAAGGAUCGGCUAACUCCGUGCCAGCAGCCGCGGUAAUACGGAGGAUCCGAGCGUUAUCCGGAUUUAUUGGGUUUAAAGGGAGCGUAGAUGGAUGUUUAAGUCAGUUGUGAAAGUUUGCGGCUCAACCGUAAAAUUGCAGUUGAUACUGGAUAUCUUGAGUGCAGUUGAGGCAGGCGGAAUUCGUGGUGUAGCGGUGAAAUGCUUAGAUAUCACGAAGAACUCCGAUUGCGAAGGCAGCCUGCUAAGCUGCAACUGACAUUGAGGCUCGAAAGUGUGGGUAUCAAACAGGAUUAGAUACCCUGGUAGUCCACACGGUAAACGAUGAAUACUCGCUGUUUGCGAUAUACUGCAAGCGGCCAAGCGAAAGCGUUAAGUAUUCCACCUGGGGAGUACGCCGGCAACGGUGAAACUCAAAGGAAUUGACGGGGGCCCGCACAAGCGGAGGAACAUGUGGUUUAAUUCGAUGAUACGCGAGGAACCUUACCCGGGCUUAAAUUGCAGAUGAAUUACGGUGAAAGCCGUAAGCCGCAAGGCAUCUGUGAAGGUGCUGCAUGGUUGUCGUCAGCUCGUGCCGUGAGGUGUCGGCUUAAGUGCCAUAACGAGCGCAACCCUUGUUGUCAGUUACUAACAGGUUCCGCUGAGGACUCUGACAAGACUGCCAUCGUAAGAUGUGAGGAAGGUGGGGAUGACGUCAAAUCAGCACGGCCCUUACGUCCGGGGCUACACACGUGUUACAAUGGGGGGUACAGAGGGCCGCUACCACGCGAGUGGAUGCCAAUCCCCAAAACCUCUCUCAGUUCGGACUGGAGUCUGCAACCCGACUCCACGAAGCUGGAUUCGCUAGUAAUCGCGCAUCAGCCACGGCGCGGUGAAUACGUUCCCGAGCCUUGUACACACCGCCCGUCAAGCCAUGGGAGCCGGGGGUACCUGAAGUGCGUAACCGCGAGGAGCGCCCUAGGGUA